Molecule: ribosomal RNA, 394 nt
Filed under: Bacillus sp. EJP59
Lineage: Bacteria; Bacillati; Bacillota; Bacilli; Caryophanales; Bacillaceae
Description: bacterial SSU rRNA
Rfam family: Bacterial small subunit ribosomal RNA
Source: RNAcentral
GCACCGGUACAGAGAUGUAUCUUUCCUUCGGGACAGAGGAGACAGGUGGUGCAUGGUUGUCGUCAGCUCGUGUCGUGAGAUGUUGGGUUAAGUCCCGCAACGAGCGCAACCCUUAUAUUUAGUUGCCAGCACUUCGGGUGGGCACUCUAGAUAGACUGCCGGUGACAAACCGGAGGAAGGUGGGGAUGACGUCAAAUCAUCAUGCCCCUUAUGACCUGGGCUACACACGUGCUACAAUGGCCGGUACAACGGGCUGCGAAAUCGCGAGAUGGAGCCAAUCCCAACAAAGCCGGUCUCAGUUCGGAUUGCAGGCUGCAACUCGCCUGCAUGAAGUCGGAAUUGCUAGUAAUCGCGGAUCAGCAUGCCGCGGUGAAUACGUUCCCGGGUCUUGUAC